CCUGGCGGCAACAGCGCGGUGGUCCCACCUGACCCCAUGCCGAACUCAGAAGUGAAACGCCGUAGCGCCGAUGGUAGUGUGGGGCCUCCCCAUGCGAGAGUAGGGCUGUCUCUU
This 114-nucleotide ribosomal RNA is filed under the name Pantoea dispersa. Lineage: Bacteria; Pseudomonadati; Pseudomonadota; Gammaproteobacteria; Enterobacterales; Erwiniaceae. The record is from RNAcentral.